AUGAUUUUAUGCUAUGAAUGGUAAGGCUGUUAUAUGAAUGAACUGUUAUGAAAUUAUGAAUGCCUUAAUAUGAUGAUCUGUUGAAUGUGAUAUGUGUAUGGAUGUUAGAUACAUCAAACAGAAUGCGAUGUUAGAUACAUCAAACAGAUUUCGAUGUCAGAUACAUCGAACGAGUUACUAAGGACAUUGAGACGUGACUCCUAGGGCGGACGCGCCGAGGUUAUUCAAGGACCAGUGAUCUCCUGUUUACCUCAUAGGGUGACAUGGACAACUAGCGUUCCAUGCUCAUCAUGUAGCAAAUAGGAUUUCUCUAUGGCACGCGUGGUGACGUGAGGAGUUCUUCAUCAUGGGGUGUAUGGCGUGGGGCAAUCCUAUGGACGAUAAAACGAUCAACGUAGAACGCCAUUUAAAUUAUGUUUUGUUUUAAGGGACUUUUUCCUAAAUUAUCAGUGGAACUCUGUUAUUUAACUUAAUUGGUUUUCUUUGAACUUUGCAUAAAAACCUAUGUUUUAUUUUAAACUUAUGGCGCCAACUUGCAUGAUUUUAAAUAAGUCCCCCUGAGACUUUAAUAAAGGAUGGUAUUCUUUUAUAA
Molecule: long non-coding RNA, 592 nt
Organism: Humulus lupulus (European hop)
Lineage: Eukaryota; Viridiplantae; Streptophyta; Magnoliopsida; Rosales; Cannabaceae
Exons: 2
Source: RefSeq, a predicted model, not a curated record